GUGGGGAAUCUUCCACAAUGGACGAAAGUCUGAUGGAGCAACGCCGCGUGAGUGAUGAAGGUCUUCGGAUUGUAAAGCUCUGUUAAUCGGGACGAAAGAGCCUAGUGUGAAUAAUGCUAGGAAGUGACGGUACCGGAAUAGAAAGCCACGGCUAACUACGUGCCAGCAGCCGCGGUAAUACGUAGGUGGCAAGCGUUGUCCGGAAUUAUUGGGCGUAAAGCGCGCGCAGGCGGAUCUGCCAGUCUGUCUUAAAAGUUCGGGGCUUAACCCCGUGAUGGGAUGGAAACUACAGAUCUAGAGUAUCGGAGAGGAAAGUGGAAUUCCUAGUGUAGCGGUGAAAUGCGUAGAUAUUAGGAAGAACACCAGUGGCGAAGGCGACUUUCUGGACGAAAACUGACGCUGAGGCGCGAAAGCCAGGGGAGCGAACGGGAUUAGAUACCCGAGUAGUCC
Molecule: ribosomal RNA, 450 nt
Filed under: uncultured bacterium
Lineage: Bacteria
Description: partial 16S ribosomal RNA
Rfam family: Bacterial small subunit ribosomal RNA
Source: RNAcentral